UCUAACCCCCAAAUCCGACCACUCUCCCUCUCUCAUUCACUCUCAUCUGAUUUUUUAAGACCAUUCAAAGUGUUCUCUCAAUAUUCAACCUCAAGAACACCAAGGAAAACUUGGAGGCUAAGUCUUGGUCUAGGAAGUAUUUUCCCUAAGUUGGUUAGGGUUUUUGAAAGGUUUUGGAGGAGCCAAAGCUAAUAGGAAGGUCCAAACCUUAAGCAAGAACACCAAAGAGGUAAGUGCAAGGGCAAGGCAGAGCAGUGAGCGCUGGAGUCUUCCUUGCAAAUGUACAUGUGGACCGACCUUUUGGGAAGCCUUUUUAUUUUUGGAAAUGUUGUGUAAUUUUCCUAAACUAGGCUCACUCUAAUCUUUAUAAAACAUGUUUGUAAUAAAAUGUUAAGUAUGGCCAUACGACUUUUUAAAAAGUUUUUUUUUCUAUGGGUUUUUGAGACAUUUUGUUAAAUGAAAACAUUUAUAUUUCCGCAUUAUCGAGUCUUGAAAAUCCGGGUCGUUACAGUUGGUAUCAGAGCUCGAGUUGAGCCG
Humulus lupulus (European hop) is the source of this 537-nucleotide long non-coding RNA. RefSeq lists it as uncharacterized. The record is from RefSeq and is a predicted model, not a curated record. NCBI's taxonomy places the organism in Eukaryota, Viridiplantae, Streptophyta, Magnoliopsida, Rosales, Cannabaceae. The transcript has 3 exons.